RNAcentral lists this transfer RNA (74 nucleotides) under Trachinus draco (greater weever). Its description in RNAcentral is "tRNA-Leu". It matches the Rfam family "tRNA". From Rfam's summary of the family: Transfer RNA (tRNA) molecules are approximately 80 nucleotides in length. Their secondary structure includes four short double-helical elements and three loops (D, anti-codon, and T loops). Lineage: Eukaryota; Metazoa; Chordata; Actinopteri; Perciformes; Trachinidae. RNAcentral also lists the same sequence under 1 other name. The record is from RNAcentral.
GUCCAGAUGGCAGAGUUCGGCUUUUGCGAAAGGUCUAAGCCCUUUUUACAGGGGUUCAACUCCCCUUCUUGACU